GAACUUGUAAUUAGAUGAGUGUCCUCAUCUGGCACAUACUGGCAGGAGGAAACAUAACCCUUGUGCCCACUAAGCAUCUUUGAUCCUGGCAGGUUCCCAUCCUUAUCUGAUGGUGAAUUGAGGUUGAAAAUAGAGCAAACACUAUCAAGACCACCACAAGCAACAAACUGACCAGUUGGAGAGAAGGCACAAGUCAUGACCCAAGCACAAGGCAACUUUAUGGCAUGAGUUUU
RNAcentral lists this unclassified non-coding RNA (233 nucleotides) under Hevea brasiliensis (rubber tree). The record is from RNAcentral. Lineage: Eukaryota; Viridiplantae; Streptophyta; Magnoliopsida; Malpighiales; Euphorbiaceae.